RNAcentral lists this transfer RNA (70 nucleotides) under Dipodomys ordii (Ord's kangaroo rat). It matches the Rfam family "tRNA". Rfam says of the family: Transfer RNA (tRNA) molecules are approximately 80 nucleotides in length. Their secondary structure includes four short double-helical elements and three loops (D, anti-codon, and T loops). Lineage: Eukaryota; Metazoa; Chordata; Mammalia; Rodentia; Heteromyidae. The record is from Rfam by way of RNAcentral.
GGGAAUGUGGCUUAGUGGUAGAGUGCUUGCCUACUAUGCAUGAAGCCCUGAGUUCAAUUCCUCAGUACUA